GAUGAAGAACGUAGCGAAAUGCGAUAAGUAAUGUGAAUUGCAGAAUUCAGUGAAUCAUCGAAUCUUUGAACGCACAUUGCGCCCGCCAGUAUUCUGGCGGGCAUGCCUGUCCGAGCGUCAUUUCAACCCUCAAGCACAGCUUGGUGUUGGGACUCGCGUUAAUUCGCGUUCCCCAAAUUGAUUGGCGGUCACGUCGAGCUUCCAUAGCGUAGUAGUAAAACCCUCGUUACUGGUAAUCGUCGCGGCCACGCCGUUAAACCCCAACUUCUGAAUGUUGACCUCGGAUCAGGUAGGAAUACCCGCUGAACUUAAGCAUAUCAAUAAGCGGAGGA
This 332-nucleotide unclassified non-coding RNA is filed under the name soil metagenome. RNAcentral describes it as "partial contains 5.8S ribosomal RNA, internal transcribed spacer 2, and large subunit ribosomal RNA". The stretch from base 1 to 120 matches the Rfam family "5.8S ribosomal RNA", at positions 35 to 154 of the family's 154-position model. The record is from RNAcentral.